Durio zibethinus is the source of this 1345-nucleotide non-coding RNA. NCBI's taxonomy places the organism in Eukaryota, Viridiplantae, Streptophyta, Magnoliopsida, Malvales, Malvaceae. The record is from RefSeq and is a predicted model, not a curated record.
CCUUGCUUGUGUUUUUCCAGUGCCAAGCGAUUGUGGCGUGGCCUCGUACAUUGUUUUCUUCACUCACUCAUUGAGUAAUCGAUUGGGUGGGUUAUGGAUCGACGUGCGUGGAUGCUGCCACUUGUACGCAAUAGGCAUAUGAGUGGUGUUAUGGUUGUGCGUGUUGGCAGGCUCCGUGCUCGAUGCAUCAAAUUGUCGACCCGUCAUUCUCUUCAAUCUCUCCCCAUGCGAUCAUCGUACCCCAAGGGUGCAAUCGAGAUCCUGUGCUAAAUACCUGAAUCGAUGGAAAUUGGAUGUCUUGCCAUCCCUCAUCCGUCUCAUGUCCUGAGGGGUUACGGGUCAGACAUCAAUCAUGGCCGGUGUCCAAAGUGCACCACCCAAUCCUCUGUGACCUUAUUGGUGCACCGGUGUUCAAUCAUGCUCUCGGAUGCAAAACGUUUCGAGGGCACAGGCUCUCGACCCCCGUUCAUCCAAUGCUAUGCAUUUCACAUGCUCGACACGCACGAUGCUUGUGCUUCACAUUGGGCUCUCUCUACCAUUUGAUCAGUGUAUCAAGGCCCAUACGAUGCCAACAUCCUGAAGGAAUGCUACCUGGUUUGAUCCUGCCAGUAGUCAUAUGUUUGUCUUAAAGAUUAAGCCAUGCAUGUGUAAGUAUGAACUAAUUUAGACUGUGAAACUGUGAAUUGCUCAUUAAAUCAAUUAUAGUUUGUUUGAUAGUAUCUACUACUCGAAUAAUCAUAGUAAUUCUAGAGCUAAUACAUGCAACAAACCUCGACUUUUGGAAGGAAUGCAUUUAUUAGAUAAAAGGUUGACACAGGCUACGCCCUUUGCUCUGAUGAUUCAUGAUAACUCGACGGAUUGCACGACCUUUACGUUGGUGACGCAUCAUUCAAAUUUUUGCCCUAUCAACUUUCGAUGGGAGGAUAGUGGCCUACUAUGGUGGUGACGAGUGACGGAGAAUUAGGGUUGGAAGGGAUGCAUUUAUUAGAUAAAUGGUCGACGCGGGCUAUGCCCGUUGCUCUGAUGAUUCAUGAUAACUCGAUGGAUCGCACGACCUUUGUGCCGGUGACGCAUCAUUCAAAAUUUUACCCUAUCAACUUUUGAUGGUAGGAUAGUGGCCUACUAUGGUGGUGACGGGUGACAGGUGAUGCAGAAUUAGGGUUCGAUUCCGGAGAGGGAGCCUAAGAAACGGCUACCACAUCCAAGGAAGGCAGUAGGCGCACAAAUUACCCAAACCUGACACGGAGAGGUAGUGACAAUAAAUAACAAUACCGAGCUCUAUGAGUCUGGUAAUUGGAAUGAGUACAAUCUAAAUCCCUUAACGAGGAUCCAUUAGAGGGCAAGU